RNAcentral lists this ribosomal RNA (237 nucleotides) under uncultured bacterium. Its description in RNAcentral is "partial 16S ribosomal RNA". It matches the Rfam family "Bacterial small subunit ribosomal RNA", at positions 27 to 288 of the family's 1533-position model. The record is from RNAcentral.
GAACGAACGCUGGCGGCAGGCUUAACACAUGCAAGUCGAACGCUUCACCUUCGGGUGGGGAGUGGCAGACGGGUGAGUAACGCGUGGGAACGUACCCUUCAGUUCGGGAUAACCCAGGGAAACUUGGGCUAAUACCGGAUACGUCCGUAAGGAGAAAGGUUUACUGCUGAAGGAUCGGCCCGCGUCGGAUUAGCUAGUUGGUGGGGUAAAGGCCCACCAAGGCGACGAUCCGUAGCU